Molecule: transfer RNA, 80 nt
Filed under: Bifidobacterium bombi DSM 19703
Lineage: Bacteria; Bacillati; Actinomycetota; Actinomycetes; Bifidobacteriales; Bifidobacteriaceae
Also listed under: 2 other names
Rfam family: tRNA
About the family: Transfer RNA (tRNA) molecules are approximately 80 nucleotides in length.
Source: Rfam by way of RNAcentral
GCCCCCGUGGCGGAAUGGUAGACGCAGCUGACUUAAAAUCAGCCGCCUUUGGCGUGUCGGUUCGAUCCCGACCGGGGGUA